UCCGUAGGCGGGAUAAUAAGUCAGUGGUGAAAGUCUGCAGCUUAACUGUAGAAUUGCCAUUGAUACUGUUGUUCUUGAAUUAUUAUGAAGUGGUUGGAAUGAGUAGUGUAGCGGUGAAAUGCAUAGAUAUUACUCAGAACACCUAUUGCGAAGGCAGAUCACUAAUAAUAUAUUGACGCUGAUGGACGAAAGCGUAGGUAGCGAACA
RNAcentral lists this ribosomal RNA (207 nucleotides) under uncultured bacterium. RNAcentral's name for it is "partial 16S ribosomal RNA". It matches the Rfam family "Bacterial small subunit ribosomal RNA", at positions 568 to 774 of the family's 1533-position model. The record is from RNAcentral.